CCCUUAGAUGUUCUGGGCCGCACGCGCGCUACACUGAUGCAUUCAACGAGCCUAUCCUUGACCGACAGGUCCGGGUAAUCUUUGAAUCUGCAUCGUGACGGGGAUAGAUUAUUGCAAUUAUUAAUCUUCAACGAGGAAUGCCUAGUAGGCGCAAGUCAUCAGCUUGCGUCGAUUACGUCCCUGCCCUUUGUACACACCGCCCGUCGUUCCUACCGAUUGGGUGUGCUGGUGAAAUGUUCGGAUCGGCCGUUUGUCGCGGUUUCCGCGUCAUGUGGCUGAGAAGUUCAUUAAACCCUCCCACCUAGAGGAAGGAGAAGUCGUAACA
This 325-nucleotide ribosomal RNA is filed under the name uncultured eukaryote. Its description in RNAcentral is "partial 18S ribosomal RNA". It matches the Rfam family "Eukaryotic small subunit ribosomal RNA", at positions 1470 to 1796 of the family's 1831-position model. The record is from RNAcentral.